Bos indicus x Bos taurus (hybrid cattle) is the source of this 663-nucleotide long non-coding RNA. The record is from Ensembl. Lineage: Eukaryota; Metazoa; Chordata; Mammalia; Artiodactyla; Bovidae.
UGUGUAAUUCUGGGUAAUUUUAGAAGCCUGAAAGAGUCACAAACCUAUCAGAGAAAAGCUAUGGCUCCUAGCCUACCCCCUGGAGCCUGGAAAUGUCAUCUUGUCUGGAACAAGACUAGAUUAGAGAGCUUCAGGGUUCCAAACAUCUACAAAUGCAUGGGUCUUCUUUUCAUAAAAUGAAUCAUAGUAAAAAUAGUGACCUCUAAUUUAUUUUAGAAACCCAGAUUUUCAUAUGUCAGGUUGAAAUGGAUCAUAAUGCUCUUCUACUUGUUCAUGUAAAUAUGCCUUGGAUCAAGAGAUUUACUUUUGAUUUUGUUAAUAAGAUUGCAAAUGUUUAUGUAAUUCAACUAAUGCUACUUUUUUCCUAGAAUGAAAACACUAAGGAAGAUGACCUUUCAGUGCAACGAGAUGAAAAUGACCCAGCACUAAUAAAUCUUAGCCAGUGUGCUAAUAAGCCUGUGAAGCAGAAGAAAGAGACAGGUUACAGUUAUGCAGUGGCCCUACAGCUGCUGGGCUUGGAUGACGGGACUGGGCCCAGUAACAGGGAUCCUGUCCUGAUGAGGGGGACCUACUUGUCCUUUCUGUAUCUGCGUCACCUGAGGAUCCGGGAGCUGCAGGUAUGUGGAUGGUCUUGCAUGCAUCUGAAUUGUUUGGUUGUCUGUA